RNAcentral lists this ribosomal RNA (79 nucleotides) under Bacillus pumilus. RNAcentral describes it as "partial 23S ribosomal RNA". It matches the Rfam family "Bacterial large subunit ribosomal RNA", at positions 2847 to 2925 of the family's 2925-position model. RNAcentral also lists the same sequence under 11 other names. Lineage: Bacteria; Bacillati; Bacillota; Bacilli; Caryophanales; Bacillaceae. The record is from RNAcentral.
AUCAGGUUGAUAGGUCUGAGGUGGAAGCGUGGUGACACGUGGAGCUGACAGAUACUAAUAGAUCGAGGACUUAACCUAU